Molecule: ribosomal RNA, 484 nt
Filed under: uncultured bacterium
Lineage: Bacteria
Description: partial 16S ribosomal RNA
Rfam family: Bacterial small subunit ribosomal RNA
Source: RNAcentral
AUUGAACGCUGGCGGCAGGCCUAACACAUGCAAGUCGAGCGGAUGAAGGGAGCUUGCUCCUGGAUUCAGCGGCGGACGAGUGAGUAAUGCCUAGGAAUCUGCCUGGUAGUGGGGGAUAACGUCCGGAAACGGGCGCUAAUACCGCAUACGUCCUGAGGGAGAAAGUGGGGGAUCUUCGGACCUCACGCUAUCAGAUGAGCCUAGGUCGGAUUAGCUAGUUGGUGGGGUAAAGGCCUACCAAGGCGACGAUCCGUAACUGGUCUGAGAGGAUGAUCAGUCACACUGGAACUGAGACACGGUCCAGACUCCUACGGGAGGCAGCAGUGGGGAAUAUUGGACAAUGGGCGAAAGCCUGAUCCAGCCAUGCCGCGUGUGUGAAGAAGGUCUUCGGAUCGUAAAGCACUUUAAGUUGGGAGGAAGGGCAGUAAGUUAAUACCUUGCUGUUUUGACGUUACCAACAGAAUAAGCACCGGCUAACUUCGUG